Molecule: long non-coding RNA, 1430 nt
Filed under: Heterocephalus glaber (naked mole-rat)
Lineage: Eukaryota; Metazoa; Chordata; Mammalia; Rodentia; Bathyergidae
Description: lncRNA (ENSHGLG00100038336.1)
Source: RNAcentral
GCUGCCGAGCUGCAGGAAGCAAGCGCAGCCGGCCUUGUGCGGCGCCCGCCCUGCACCGGGGACGCGGGGGGCUCAGACAUUUGCGGGCAGGGGAGCAGCGGGAGCCUUGUGAAUUCCGUCUCCGAAGGGCGGCGCGAAAGCUCAGAAUUAAAACAAUUCACAGUGCUUGAACCGGGCCUCCGGUGCCUUUAUGGUCUCAGCCGAUUCUGAGGAGCUCAUUUGAGUUGCUGGAUGAAUUUUUCAGAAAUUCGCUAACACUUUUAAGCCUACUUGACUUCUUUGAACGAUUGCUCUGCGAGACACUGCGUUAGAUCCACAGCGUCAGGAACCCUCUGCUUGCUCUAAGUAUCACAUGCCUGGUUUCCCAACAUGUACCGCAGUUCUCAUUUUAGAGUUUUGACAGCACAUUUCAUAAUAUCUAUCUCCUCAACUAAGGAAUGAAAGGUCACUGAAAGAAACGAGCGAUUUCCAUGAAACUCUGGUGGGUGCUCUGGACAGUGACACUAUGACUAAUCUACUCUCCUUCCUGAAGUCGGUGACCAGGGUAAAGUCCUGUCUCCAGCUUCAAAAAAUCACAUGGAAAAAAAAAUCCCUAAUCCUUAGAUCUAAAUUGAUGACAACAGAAUGGUGCAACUUGAAUGCAAGAUUUUAAAAAUCACAUUUCUAAAUUUCCAGCUGCGUUUCACUGUCAUCUAAUAACACCUUGUUCACCAUCUUCCCUGGAGUAGAAUGAUGAGAAUCUAAGAGACACUUGCGCCCUGAAAGAGCACAAUUUUGGAUUCUUCCACAGCUUGCUGCAGGAAACUACAAACUACCAGAUGUCGCUAAGUAUUUGUUAACUGAAAAGGAGAGGAUUCAGACAUUUACCGAAGCAUCCCUGUCAAAAUAAAUGUCACUAUUCAACCGGUUGACACAUCUCCCGUGGAUGACGUGGUUGUUAUGAAACUUGACCUCCUUUGUGGAGUUUGAACGAAGGAGAAGAUGAAAACACUGUCAUCUUUCCAAAAAAUGACCAUUGACUCCUCCUCCUCGAGGCAUUUUAACCGUUCUCUAAACAUGUAACUAAAAGAUAUGAGAAAAAAUAAAGAUUAUGGUUUCUAAAAUAACCAUACCGUUCACUAUGUCUGUUCUAUUAACUGUGACAAGUAUCUAAUGAUCCACAAAUAUUUCUUUAAAAUAGCUUCUAUAUUUUCACUUUUAUUUGAGACCAAUCAAUCCAUCCCUAAAGAACUGAAGCAGAAGCAGGUUUUAUUGGACAGGAUGACUCUAUGUCCUACAAUCCUCAAUCCUGCAAAAAUUCAGAAACCAUCAACAGAGGGUGGAUAUGGGUACUCUGAACAUAGUAUGCUGGUGCCUCUGACUGCAUCCCUGCUGGGCAUUGCUUUUAACUGGUCGAUCACAUUUGGCACAUUAUAGGUACAAUAUGAUGC